RNAcentral lists this long non-coding RNA (331 nucleotides) under Mytilus galloprovincialis (Mediterranean mussel). The record is from RNAcentral. Lineage: Eukaryota; Metazoa; Mollusca; Bivalvia; Mytilida; Mytilidae.
UAUUAAUCUAAAGAUCUGUAUAGUUUUUGGUGAUGAUUCAAAAUUUUAUUUUUGUAAAAAAAAAAGAUUUUAUUCACAUGUCGCGCCGUAUCUAAGAAACUAUUUAUGAUUAUUGGAUAAAACUUCACACACAAGACGAAGGGCGUAUCAUGCGCUCAUGGCGCAGCUGUUUAUUUUCAAUCGUGAAAAAUCCAGCCUAAGACUUGAAAUUCAAAGGGAUAUUGUAUAUAUAUUUCGCAUCGAUGUUAUUAUAUUUUUGAUUAAUUUUCAUUUUGUUUUAUUUAUUUCUGGUUAUUCAUUCGUUUCUAUGUCGUAUCGCACUUUAUAGUCA